Non-coding RNA from Vicia faba (fava bean), 249 nucleotides. The record is from the annotation of a GenBank genome assembly. Lineage: Eukaryota; Viridiplantae; Streptophyta; Magnoliopsida; Fabales; Fabaceae.
AUGUAUGAAGAUAAAGAUAUCAAGAUGCAGAUCAAUGAGUACCAUAAGCUGUUGGAAGAACUGAAAGCUGAAAACAUUACUCUGCCUGACCAAUUUGUUGUUGGAAUUCUCAUUGAGAAGUUGCCAGAAUCAUGGAAGGGUUACAAGAAUAAACUCAAACACAAACAAAAGCAAUUACCUUUGGUAGAUUUGAUCAUGCGGAUCAUUAUCAAGGAUACAAACAAAAGCAAUUAUCUUUGGCAGAUUUGA